Molecule: long non-coding RNA, 1577 nt
Organism: Fukomys damarensis (Damara mole-rat)
Lineage: Eukaryota; Metazoa; Chordata; Mammalia; Rodentia; Bathyergidae
Source: Ensembl
UUAAUUUCAAGGGUUUUAAACCAGUAUCGCCCUUUUGACCCCACAGGAGGGCAAACCUGUUUUCACGAGAGGACAGUUUUCCACUGAAGUAGCUGCUAUGACCCUGGAAGGAAGGCUCUCAAGGUUCUGCAUAUUCCCAGAAGUCCAUUAUUAGACCCGAGUAGAACUACGAAGGACUGAAGAAUAGCAAUUGAAUAGAAAACACUCUUUUUUGUCAAAAGAGUAAGAUUUAACCUUAAUAAACAUGAGAAAAAUCAAACAGAGAAGGUCACUCUCCAAGGAGAAUGAUAAGAGUAUUUUAGCAGUUAGUUUCCUUUCUUUAAAACGCACUGUGGGGAUCCUGGGCUUCUUGGUCCCCUGGUGUCUGGACAGCCUGGCCUUUGCAUCCCUGGCCCCACCUGCACCCCAAUCAUCUAAAAAGUGAUGUGGAAUGUGGUCUUCCCAGAAGUUACUUAUGGGCUUCUUUUGGCAACAGUUUGGUUUUGUCCCAGGAAAAGGACAGGCUGGAAGGAGGACCAUCGUGGGAUGACGUUAAUGGCCCCGCUCCAUAAACACUGGGCUCUGAAAGCUGGCUUGUGAGCAGCUGUUGAGCAGACAACAACUCUGUCCCUUAAGGGACUCCUCAGAGUCGGGGCGUCCAGGACAGCACACUCUACUUCUUCACAGCUACAGAUUUGCUCUGGCCUCUGUGCGGAUUCAGCCCCUGCCACCAGUCUCUCUCCUGUCCUUCCCACUCGGGUUCCUCAUCGGAUUCCACCCGUGUGACAAAGAGGCCCGUGGCCAAGGAUACGUGAUUGUGGUUGGCAAAGGAACGAUCAGAGAGAAGCAAAGCAAUGGGACCUUAGAAAUGAUUGGAUUUAGUGCCCGAUUGCACUGCACAAAGUAAUUUACCCAAUGCCUCGCCGCGGGCCAACAGGCUGAGGACCCUGGCUUUUCUUCUGUAUGCCUCAUACAGCUGCUGGAAAGAUGGAUGACGCCGUUUAUGUGAAAACGCUCUUUAAGUUGCAAAGUACAAGCAUAUAUUACAUGUGCGAGUGUGAGCAUCAGAAACAAAAGGCUGUACUAGAUACUUCCUGCAGAAAGCGGAAAUGCUUGAAUCUACACAUAGAUGAAGCCCUUGGUUUUCUAGUUAAAUUGCCAUAUUUAGCUGGUCACCUUAGCUUCCACAGCAAUGAAUCCAGAGCCAGAAUAUAGAGCUGUGACCAAGAGUCAGCAAUGUAGACCCAUCAACCCAGAACCAUGAACCAGAACCACAAAACAGUCAUGAAUUAGAGACUUUAAAUGCAGAGCCACAAACCCAGAGCCAUUGACUUCAGAGCCUCAAGCCCAAAGCUACAAACCCAGAGCCAUAAACCUAAAGCCAUGAACCAGGACCACAAACCAGAGCCAUAAACCAUAGCCACAAUGGUGCCACAAGACCAAAGCAUCUGACAUUUCACAGUUUUAGGGAAAAAAUGAUAGUGUGUUAAAUCAAGAUGGUGCUAGAAGUUAUCCUCUGACUGUAUUCUUUAUUACGGAAUUAAAUCUUAGUGAUGGAUCUUGGCUCUCCCAUUCAGUUUGUGCGUUGCUUUUGCGAG